Molecule: ribosomal RNA, 565 nt
Filed under: Escherichia coli
Lineage: Bacteria; Pseudomonadati; Pseudomonadota; Gammaproteobacteria; Enterobacterales; Enterobacteriaceae
Description: bacterial SSU rRNA
Rfam family: Bacterial small subunit ribosomal RNA
Source: RNAcentral
AAAUUGAAGAGUUUGAUCAUGGCUCAGAUUGAACGCUGGCGGCAGGCCUAACACAUGCAAGUCGAACGGUAACAGGGAUCAGCUUGCUGAUUCGCUGACGAGUGGCGGACGGGUGAGUAAUGUCUGGGAAACUGCCUGAUGGAGGGGGAUAACUACUGGAAACGGUAGCUAAUACCGCAUAACGUCGCAAGACCAAAGAGGGGGACCUUCGGGCCUCUUGCCAUCGGAUGUGCCCAGAUGGGAUUAGCUAGUAGGUGGGGUAACGGCUCACCUAGGCGACGAUCCCUAGCUGGUCUGAGAGGAUGACCAGCCACACUGGAACUGAGACACGGUCCAGACUCCUACGGGAGGCAGCAGUGGGGAAUAUUGCACAAUGGGCGCAAGCCUGAUGCAGCCAUGCCGCGUGUAUGAAGAAGGCCUUCGGGUUGUAAAGUACUUUCAGCGGGGAGGAAGGGAGUAAAGUUAAUACCUUUGCUCAUUGACGUUACCCGCAGAAGAAGCACCGGCUAACUCCGUGCCAGCAGCCGCGGUAAUACGGAGGGUGCAAGCGUUAAUCGGAAUUACU